This 72-nucleotide transfer RNA is filed under the name Bacteriophage sp. RNAcentral describes it as "tRNA-Arg". It matches the Rfam family "tRNA". Rfam says of the family: Transfer RNA (tRNA) molecules are approximately 80 nucleotides in length. Their secondary structure includes four short double-helical elements and three loops (D, anti-codon, and T loops). The record is from RNAcentral.
GCUAUCAUAGCUCAAAUGGUAGAGCAGUUGAUUACGAAUCAACAGGGUCCGGUUCGAUUCCGGGCGAUAGCU